Rattus norvegicus (Norway rat) is the source of this 1237-nucleotide non-coding RNA. The record is from the annotation of a RefSeq genome assembly. NCBI's taxonomy places the organism in Eukaryota, Metazoa, Chordata, Mammalia, Rodentia, Muridae.
AGUCCACAUGAUUUGCAUACCUGAGGAACACAGUCCACUGAACUAUGCCUUCUUAUUAGACAAUCUGCACGCUUUGGUAUUCAGUCUCAGACAGGACACAGGCCAGUCAUGAUGGCACCAGUUCAACUCUUAGUGCUGCUGCUGCUCUGGCUCCCAGCCAUGAGAUGUAACAUCCAGCUGACCCAGUCUCCUUCACUCCUGUCUGCAUCUGUGGGAGACAGAGUCACUCUUAGCUGCAAAGGAAGUCAGAAUAUUAACAAUUACUUAGCCUGGUACCAACAAAAGCUUGGAGAAGCUCCCAAACUCCUGAUAUAUAAUACAAACAGUUUGCAAACGGGCAUCCCAUCAAGGUUCAGUGGCAGUGGAUCUGGUACAGAUUACACACUCACCAUCAGCAGCCUGCAGCCUGAAGAUGUUGCCACAUAUUUCUGCUAUCAGUAUAACAACGGGUACCACUGUGAUACAAACCAUAACAUAAACCACCCAGAGAUGCAGAUGUGUGAGCUUGGGUUUUCACAGCUGUUCUUUUGGUUCUUUCUAUUACUGACAUAAUGUCUCAGAUGUAGGCAGGCUUUGAAGAAUUUGAAUGGUUUGUGCAUCAGAGGCCCAUGAGAUUGCUCUGUACUGGGUAUGGUUCAGCAGUACAAAAUUUACUUACGAUCUGUAGACUUCAUGAACUGUUGUGGUCAUUUUACUUGAGGAAUCUAAGUGAUAUUCUCAGAUGAAAUUGUUAUAUAGCAAAACAAAUGUCAAUGUAGAUGAUCCAAACAAUGUUUGGUGUUAGAAACACAAUUUGAGUCUACCGAGAAGCUGUUGAAUGGCUUUUGGAAGGUGCAAAGUAUGUGUUGAAGCUUAAGACAGACAGAGUUCUGCUGUUCAUUUUGAAAUCAAAUCUAAGUUGCAUGAAAAGAUCUGAAGUGUAAAUAUGUGGUUCCAAAACCUCUUCCCAAGCAUCAGUAUUAUGGUAAUGAUGGUCCCAAUGGUCUUUAUGAAUUCUUGCCUAUAUGUAAAUUUUACUCUAUGCAAGCACCUGCCUGUAGUAAUGAAAGAAUUUUGCAACCAUAUUUGUCCUCUAUAAGACUUGUUCCAUAUUUUACAAUUAAAAAAUGCUCUCCCAUUUGAGUAGAUCCAUUAGAAAUAUUUAUGUGUUUGGUGAAAUAAUUUUUACUUGUAAAUUUUCUGUUGUAUUUUAACACCAAUUCUUUGUUUAAAGAUUUUAAUAAACACAUGUACUGGA